This 547-nucleotide ribosomal RNA is filed under the name uncultured bacterium. RNAcentral describes it as "bacterial SSU rRNA". It matches the Rfam family "Bacterial small subunit ribosomal RNA", at positions 355 to 894 of the family's 1533-position model. The record is from RNAcentral.
UAGGGAAUCUUCGGCAAUGGGGGGAACCCUGACCGAGCAACGCCGCGUGAGUGAAGAAGGUUUUCGGAUCGUAAAGCUCUGUUGUUAAGGAAGAACGAGUGUGAGAAUGGAAAGUUCAUACUGUGACGGUACUUAACCAGAAAGGGACGGCUAACUACGUGCCAGCAGCCGCGGUAAUACAUAUGUCCCGAGCGUUGUCCGGAUUUAUUGGGCGUAAAGCGAGCGCAGGCGGUUAGAUAAGUCUGAAGUUAAAGGCAGUGGCUCAGCCAUUGUAGGCUUUGGAAACUGUUUAACUUGAGUGCAGAAGGGGAGAGUGGAAUUCCAUGUGUAGCGGUGAAAUGCGUAGAUAUAUGGAGGAACACCGGUGGCGAAGGCGGCUCUCUGGUCUGUAACUGACGCUGAGGCUCGAAAGCGUGGGGAGCGAACAGGAUUAGAUACCCUGGUAGUCCACGCCGUAACGAUGAGUGCUAGGUGUUAGGUCCUUUCCGGGACUUAGUGCCGCAGCUAACGCAUUAAGCACUCCGCCUGGGGAGUACGACCGCAAGUU